GACGAUGAAUCUUGACAGAACCCUUCGGGGUGAAGAUAAGAUGGAUUAGCGGCGGACGGGUGAGUAACACGUGAGUAACCUGCCUUAGACAUUGGGAUAGCCUCGGGAAACCGGGAUUAAUACCAAAUGAAAUCACAUAUGCACAUGCAUAAAUGAUCAAAACUCCGGUGGUCUAAGAUGGACUCGCGUCCCAUUAGCGAGUUGGUGAGGUAACGGCCCACCAAGGCGACGAUGGGUAGCCGGCCUGAGAGGGUGAACGGCCACAUUGGAACUGAGAAACGGUCCAAACUCCUACGGGAGGCAGCAGUGGGGAAUAUUGCACAAUGGAGGGAACUCUGAUGCAGCGACGCCGCGUGAACGAUGAAGGCUUUCGAGUCGUAAAGUUCUUUUAUAUGGGAAGAUAAUGACGGUACCAUAAGAAAAAGCCCCGGCUAACUACGUGCCAGCAGCCGCGGUAAUACGUAGGGGGCUAGCGUUGUCCGGAAUCACUGGGCGUAAAGGGUUCGCAGGCGGAAAUGCAAGUCAGAUGUAAAAGGCAGUAGCUUAACUACUGUAAGCAUUUGAAACUGCAUAUCUUGAGAAGAGUAGAGGUAAGUGGAAUUUUUAGUGUAGCGGUGAAAUGCGUAGAUAUUAAAAAGAAUACCGGUGGCGAAGGCGACUUACUGGGCUCAUUCUGACGCUGAGGAACGAAAGCGUGGGUAGCAAACAGGAUUAGAUACCCUGGUAGUCCACGCUGUAAACGAUGAGUGCUAGGUAUCGGAAUAAUUCGGUGCCGCAGUUAACACAUUAAGCACUCCGCCUGGGGAGUACGUGCGCAAGCAUG
This 823-nucleotide ribosomal RNA is filed under the name uncultured Clostridia bacterium. RNAcentral's name for it is "bacterial SSU rRNA". It matches the Rfam family "Bacterial small subunit ribosomal RNA", at positions 64 to 896 of the family's 1533-position model. Lineage: Bacteria; Bacillati; Bacillota; Clostridia. The record is from RNAcentral.